AAACAUUUCCUGGAUUACUCUGAAGUUUUCCAGUGGAAAUUCUCACUCUGGUUUCCCCAUCGCCUCAAUCUGCUGAGCCCCAAACCCCCCCCCUCGAGCAGAAGCGCCGUGACCACGGAUAGGGCUGUGCCCUCAAAAUGGGAGGAGAUCUCACUGCUCCUACAGGCAUUUACCCGACUGGCUGGUGAGUGGGUGACAAAUCUCCUUCAGCAGCACUCCCAGGUGUGCUGAAGUGCGUUCAGCUGGUAUCCCCAUCCAUCAGCUGGGGAGAAUGCUUCUCUGGUUUGUGUGGCCUGGUUCGACAUGACAGAAGAAGAGCCAGGAAGUUUUAUAAAGGCAAAGAAAUUGAGGAGGAAGAGGACGGAGCGCCGCUGAAGACGGAGCCUGGAGGAUGUUUCCUGGCCCAGUCUGGGAGAGGAUCAGAUAGUGGGCAGAUAACAAUAGAAAUGAUGACUGAGACGAAACUGCGGCCACUCGCUGGGCAGAGAGGCUGGCCCCACCGCGGGCAGACGGAGACUGGAGAGGAGGAUCCAAAGCACGAGCAGCUCUGGUGCACAAGCUGAGCUCUGCAGCAAACUCAUGUGGGACCUCUGAGAGCUGAGAACUUCCAGGACUGCUGCAUGAGUGCUUGCACCUUUUCAGCUGGGGUAUGAAGACUCAGCAGCAAAUUCAGACCAUAAAUAUGUCUGGAGAGCGUAAAUAACUGUUACCAUGGCUCUUUCUGCCCACCAUGGUUCUUGCUUUCCUUUCACCAGUACUUUGGGAACUACCCCAUGAGCACUGGGUCCCUUGAGCCCACAUCACAGUGCGUUUCCCUCUAAUCGGAUAGAUGCUG
RNAcentral lists this long non-coding RNA (835 nucleotides) under Gallus gallus (chicken). Its description in RNAcentral is "lncRNA (ENSGALG00010011753.1)". The record is from RNAcentral. Lineage: Eukaryota; Metazoa; Chordata; Aves; Galliformes; Phasianidae.